AGUGAACGCUGGCGGUAGGCCUAACACAUGCAAGUCGAACGGCAGCACAGUAAGAGCUUGCUCUUACGGGUGGCGAGUGGCGGACGGGUGAGGAAUACAUCGGCAUCUACUUUUUCGUGGGGGAUAACGUAGGGAAACUUACGCUAAUACCGCAUACGACCUACGGGUGAAAGCAGGGGAUCUUCGGACCUUGCGCGAUUGAAUGAGCCGAUGUCGGAUUAGCUAGUUGGCGGGGUAAAGUCCCACCAAGGCGACGAUCCGUAGCUGGUCUGAGAGGAUGAUCAGCCACACUGGAACUGAGACACGGUCCAGACUCCUACGGGAGGCAGCAGUGGGGAAUAUUGGACAAUGGGCGCAAGCCUGAUCCAGCCAUACCGCGUGGGUGAAGAAGGCCUUCGGGUUGUAAAGCCCUUUUGUUGGGAAAGAAAAGCAGCAGGUUAAUACCCCGCUGUUCUGACGGUACCCAAAGAAUAAGCACCGGCUAACUUCGUG
Molecule: ribosomal RNA, 492 nt
Filed under: uncultured bacterium
Lineage: Bacteria
Description: partial 16S ribosomal RNA
Rfam family: Bacterial small subunit ribosomal RNA
Source: RNAcentral